RNAcentral lists this unclassified non-coding RNA (253 nucleotides) under uncultured Pirellulaceae bacterium. RNAcentral's name for it is "contains 16S-23S intergenic spacer region". It matches the Rfam family "Bacterial small subunit ribosomal RNA", at positions 524 to 776 of the family's 1533-position model. The record is from RNAcentral. Lineage: Bacteria; Pseudomonadati; Planctomycetota; Planctomycetia; Pirellulales; Pirellulaceae.
GACGAACCGGACAAACGUUAUUCGGAAUCAUUGGGCUUAAAGGGUGCGUAGGCGGUGCGGAAAGUUGGAUGUGAAAGCUCUCGGCUCAACCGAGGAAUUGCGUCCAAAACUACCGCACUCGAGGAAGACAGGGGUGAGCGGAACUCACGGUGGAGCGGUGAAAUGCGUUGAUAUCGUGAGGAACACCGGUGGCGUAAGCGGCUCACUGGGUCUUUUCUGACGCUGAGGCACGAAAGCUAGGGGAGCGAACGGG